GGAGAAAUGACAGAAGGAUUAAUUGCACCCAUUUUAAAUAUGUUAACGGGGGUUCAAAUCCUCCUUUCUCCA
RNAcentral lists this transfer RNA (72 nucleotides) under Bartramia pomiformis. RNAcentral's name for it is "tRNA-Leu". It matches the Rfam family "tRNA". Rfam says of the family: Transfer RNA (tRNA) molecules are approximately 80 nucleotides in length. Their secondary structure includes four short double-helical elements and three loops (D, anti-codon, and T loops). Further hydrogen bonds mediate the characteristic L-shaped molecular structure. tRNAs have two regions of fundamental functional importance: the anti-codon, which is responsible for specific mRNA codon recognition, and the 3' end, to which the tRNAs corresponding amino acid is attached (by aminoacyl-tRNA synthetases). tRNAs cope with the degeneracy of the genetic code in two manners: having more than one tRNA (with a specific anti-codon) for a particular amino acid; and 'wobble' base-pairing, i.e. permitting non-standard base-pairing at the 3rd anti-codon position. The record is from RNAcentral. Lineage: Eukaryota; Viridiplantae; Streptophyta; Bryopsida; Bartramiales; Bartramiaceae.